Molecule: ribosomal RNA, 208 nt
Filed under: uncultured bacterium
Lineage: Bacteria
Description: partial 16S ribosomal RNA
Rfam family: Bacterial small subunit ribosomal RNA
Source: RNAcentral
AGCGCAGGCGGGAAGACAAGUUGGAAGUGAAAUCCAUGGGCUCAACCCAUGAACUGCUUUCAAAACUGUUUUUCUUGAGUAGUGCAGAGGUAGGCGGAAUUCCCGGUGUAGCGGUGGAAUGCGUAGAUAUCGGGAGGAACACCAGUGGCGAAGGCGGCCUACUGGGCACCAACUGACGCUGGGGCUCGAAAGUGUGGGUAAGUAAACA